This 491-nucleotide ribosomal RNA is filed under the name uncultured bacterium. RNAcentral describes it as "partial 16S ribosomal RNA". It matches the Rfam family "Bacterial small subunit ribosomal RNA", at positions 29 to 507 of the family's 1533-position model. The record is from RNAcentral.
AGUGAACGCUGGCGGUAGGCCUAACACAUGCAAGUCGAACGGCAGCACAGUAAGAGCUUGCUCUUACGGGUGGCGAGUGGCGGACGGGUGAGGAAUACAUCGGAAUCUACUUUUUCGUGGGGGAUAACGUAGGGAAACUUACGCUAAUACCGCAUACGACCUACGGGUGAAAGCAGGGGAUCUUCGGACCUUGCGCGAUUGAAUGAGCCGAUGUCGGAUUAGCUGGUUGGCGGGGUAAAGGCCCACCAAGGCGACGAUCCGUAGCUGGUCUGAGAGGAUGAUCAGCCACACUGGAACUGAGACACGGUCCAGACUCCUACGGGAGGCAGCAGUGGGGAAUAUUGGACAGUGGGCGAAAGCCUGAUCCAGCCAUACCGCGUGGGUGAAGAAGGCCUUCGGGUUGUAAAGCCCUUUUGUUGGGAAAGAAAAGCAGCAGGUUAAUACCCCGCUGUUCUGACGGUACCCAAAGAAUAGCACCGGCUAACUUCGUG